This 532-nucleotide ribosomal RNA is filed under the name uncultured bacterium. Its description in RNAcentral is "bacterial SSU rRNA". It matches the Rfam family "Bacterial small subunit ribosomal RNA", at positions 777 to 1314 of the family's 1533-position model. The record is from RNAcentral.
AAUAGAUACCCGGUAGUCCACGCCGUAAACGAUGAAUACUAGGUGUGGGGUUGUCAUGACCUCCGUGCCGCUGCUAACGCAUUAAGUAUUCCGCCUGGGGAGUACGGUCGCAAGAUUAAAACUCAAAGGAAUUGACGGGGGCCCGCACAAGCAGCGGAGCAUGUGGUUUAAUUCGAAGCAACGCGAAGAACCUUACCUAGACUUGACAUCUCCUGAAUUACUCUGUAAUGGAGGAAGCCCUUCGGGGCAGGAAGACAGGUGGUGCAUGGUUGUCGUCAGCUCGUGUCGUGAGAUGUUGGGUUAAGUCCCGCAACGAGCGCAACCCUUAUUGUUAGUUGCUAUCAUUUAGUUGAGCACUCUAGCGAGACUGCCCGGGUUAACCGGGAGGAAGGUGGGGAUGACGUCAAAUCAUCAUGCCCCUUAUGUCUAGGGCUACACACGUGCUACAAUGGCUGGUACAGAGAGAUGCAAUACCGCGAGGUGGAGCCAAACUUCAAAACCAGUCUCAGUUCGGAUUGUAGGCUGAAACUCG